GACGAACGCUGGCGGCAUGCCUAAUACAUGCAAGUCGAGCGAACAGAUGAAGUGCUUGCACUUCUGACGUUAGCGGCGAACGGGUGAGUAACACGUAAGGAAUCUACCUAUGAGCGGGGGAUAACAUUCGGAAACGGGUGCUAAUACCGCAUAAUAUCUUCUUCCGCAUGGAAGAAGAUUGAAAGACGGCUCUGCUGUCACUUAUAGAUGGACUUGCGGUGCAUUAGUUAGUUGGUGGGGUAACGGCCUACCAAGACGAUGAUGCAUAGCCGACCUGAGAGGGUGAUCGGCCACAUUGGGACUGAGACACGGCCCAAACUCCUACGGGAGGCAGCAGUAGGGAAUCUUCCGCAAUGGGCGAAAGCCUGACGGAGCAAUGCCGCGUGAGUGAAGAAGGCCUUCGGGUCGUAAAACUCUGUUAUAAGAGAAGAACAAAUUGUAGAGUAACUGCUACAGUCUUGACGGUAUCUUAUCAGAAAGCCACGGCUAACUACGUGCCAGCCGCCGCAGUAA
Molecule: ribosomal RNA, 513 nt
Filed under: uncultured bacterium
Lineage: Bacteria
Description: partial 16S ribosomal RNA
Rfam family: Bacterial small subunit ribosomal RNA
Source: RNAcentral